AGUGAACGCUGGCGGUAGGCCUAACACAUGCAAGUCGAACGGCAGCACAGUAAGAGCUUGCUCUUACGGGUGGCGAGUGCGGACGGGUGAGGAAUACAUCGGAAUCUACUUUUUCGUGGGGGAUAACGUAGGGAAACUUACGCUAAUACCGCAUACGACCUACGGGUGAAAGCAGGGGAUCUUCGGACCUUGCGCGAUUGAAUGAGCCGAUGUCGGAUUAGCUAGUUGGCGGGGUAAAGGCCCACCAAGGCGACGAUCCGUGGCUGGUCUGAGAGGAUGAUCAGCCACACUGGAACUGAGACACGGUCCAGACUCCUACGGGAGGCAGCAGUGGGGAAUAUUGGACAAUGGGCGCAAGCCUGAUCCAGCCAUACCGCGUGGGUGAAGAAGGCCUUCGGGUUGUAAAGCCCUUUUGUUGGGAAAGAAAAGCAGCAGGUUAAUACCCCGCUGUUCUGACGGUACCCAAAGAAUAAGCACCGGCUAACUUCGUG
This 491-nucleotide ribosomal RNA is filed under the name uncultured bacterium. Its description in RNAcentral is "partial 16S ribosomal RNA". It matches the Rfam family "Bacterial small subunit ribosomal RNA", at positions 29 to 507 of the family's 1533-position model. The record is from RNAcentral.